CCGGCGGCGCCGACAGCGGCGAAAGCUCCGCGGGGCGCUCCGCGUUCGGCAGCGGAACGGGCGCCGCGAGGGCCCCGGGGCCGCUCCCGCUCCGGACGGCCGCUCGGCGCUUCUCCGCGGCCGGCGGCGCCCUUAUGGCGGCGCUUUGCGUAUCCACCGCGGCUACAGGUUGGGGAUCUCGGAGCGUUUGAUCGUUUAUUUAUCCCGCCGGCACUCCCUGGAAGUAGGUCUGCAGUCCCCGCGUUGCUGGAGCGGGGGGGGCUGCGAGGCACGGAUCGCUCCGGGCCGGGCUGUCAUUCACCGUCAGAGGGACCGACAGCGCUCACUGACUCAAAAUGCCGUUUCCUUCCCCACCUCGUGAGCAACUUUCUGCACGCAGGUUUCAGCUCUACGCUCUGCACCCUGAUAUAUGGAAAUUCUGAUGUGCAGAUUAGGAAAGCCCCUAUGCAGGAUCUCAUUAGAGGCGAGCGUGAUCCCACCGUACUAAAAAGGAACACCUCCAAUGCAGCGCCACGUCCAUGCUCAGCGCCAGCGCUGACAAUGGGAAAGCCUGCAUGCGAGGACUGAGCCAGCAGCAAUCACAGAACGGCUUGGGUUGGAAGGGACCUUAAAGCCCACCCAGCCCCAACUCCUGCCGUGGGCAGGGCUGCCCCCCACCAGCUCAGACUGCCCAGGGCUCCACCCAACUGACACUGAGCACCUGCAGGGGUGGGGCAUCCCAGCACUCCAAUUACACCACUGCAGAGUAAGAGAGGAAAUGUUCAACGUCACUUCAGGUGAACAAAUACGUUUAAACAAGGAACGUCCUCUUUUCUUUCUCUCCCUCUGUGCGUUUUCCUUCUGCUUUGUUUAGUUUUGGAAGACCUCCCAGCAGAAGGAAGGAGCCAGCACUGCACCACCUGUUGUUCCAUUACCUCGUGGAAGGCAGUGGCAGAACAGAUCUCACAGGGAAUACGUUCAGGAGGAAGAAAGAAGUGCUGUUGUCCCCAGGUCAACCUUAGCCCACCGUUCGGAUACGUAGAAGAUACACAGGGAAGGAGGAGUUUAUUCAAAAGGUUUAUGACAGUGAAUCUGAGAGAAGCCAAAUGCCUGCUGAAGACUGUCCUGAGGUGCUUAAGCAAACCCUGCCCAGAUGAGAGGAACUAAGGCCUUCAGUCAUUUUCUCCCUUUGCACAGUUGCAGCUCUGGUAGUGGGGGAGAUGAGAAGUCCCUUUCCCUGCUGUGUCCUGAGGUUACUGCCUCAUAGCACAGCUGGCAGUGCAAACAUAAACUCGUGCCUGAGCUCCUUCUGUGCAUAGUUUGGCGAGCUAAUGCCAGUAGUUCACAUGCUAAUGAAAUAGGAUUGGAGCUGAGAUACACAGAAGAAAACUUUCUUGGCCAGAAGUGAGGUGCACAGGAGAAGGAAGGAAAAGAAACCCUGAAAAAACAUCAUUUGCCAUCAUAUUUUAGAUAAUUCUUUCUCCAACUUGCAUUUUCAUUGCUCUUAAAGAGAAGUGUGAUAACACUCUGUAUAAAAGUAUUAUUUAAAAUGGAAUAGAGUGCAAUUUAAUAAUUUUCAUAUGUCUUUCAUUAAAAAUAUAUAUAAGCUAAUAAAAGGCUUUUACUGGCACACUUUAAAUUUAGUUUGAAAUUUAUUUUCACAUAGGAAGUGUUUAUUAGGCUCCUGCAGUCUCUCCAAGCCUGUUUACACAGAAGAACAUCCCUUCCACUGCUGCAUUUGAGGUAGGAGUGAAGGAACUGCCAUCCAAAGAUAGGAAUUGCCCUGAUAUUCUCAUACAGCAUUCCCAAAGCAUUCAUGUGCACAUCUCUCCCUCUGUCUCUAUGCUGCACAUUGCAGGACAAAUGGGACCCACUCUGUGACUGAGGCUUGAAAUUUCAGUAACACAGAUUUCUGAAAAGUCAAGUUUCUCUUCAAUUAAAUCUCUUAAAGUAGACUUGGACAAUGUUUAAAUUUAAUGAAAUUAAAAUUGAGCACGUAGCACGUUAAACCUGAAUUAAUUCUUUUCCACUUUUCUGUUUUCUACAAUGUUAUUUUAAAUAAAACACAUGUGGAAAAGAACGAAUCCUUUCUUAUCA
This 2076-nucleotide long non-coding RNA is filed under the name Gallus gallus (chicken). Lineage: Eukaryota; Metazoa; Chordata; Aves; Galliformes; Phasianidae. The record is from RNAcentral.